CCUACGGGUGACUGCAGUGGGGAAUAUUGCACAAUGGGGGAAACCCUGAUGCAGCGACGCCGCGUGAGUGAAGAAGUAAUUCGUUACGUAAAGCUCUAUCAUCAGGGAAGAAACACUGACCUUAUGGUCAUCAGACGGUACCUGAGUAAGAAGCCCCGGCGAACUACGUGCUAGCAGCCGCGGUAAUACGUAGGGGGCAAGCGUUAUCCGGAUUUACGGGGUGUAAAGGGAGCGUAGACGGUGCGCCAAGUCUGGAGUGAAAUGCCGCGGCUUAACUGCGGAGCUGCAUUGGAAACUGGCGAACUAGAGUGCGGAAGGGGUAAGCGGAAUUCCAGGUGUAGCGGUGAAAUGCGUAGAUAUAAGGAGGAACACCAGUGGCGAAGGCGACUUACUGGACCGUAACUGACGUUGAGGCUCGAAAGCGUGGGGAGCAAACAGGAUUAGAUACCCGAGUAGUC
This 458-nucleotide ribosomal RNA is filed under the name uncultured bacterium. RNAcentral's name for it is "partial 16S ribosomal RNA". It matches the Rfam family "Bacterial small subunit ribosomal RNA", at positions 338 to 795 of the family's 1533-position model. The record is from RNAcentral.